Long non-coding RNA from Gadus chalcogrammus (walleye pollock), 791 nucleotides. RefSeq lists it as uncharacterized. The transcript has 3 exons. The record is from RefSeq and is a predicted model, not a curated record. NCBI's taxonomy places the organism in Eukaryota, Metazoa, Chordata, Actinopteri, Gadiformes, Gadidae.
AAUCUGACUGACUGGCUAGCUAACCUUUCUCGCAAUUUUAAGGUUUCCCAAAGAGAAGCAGUUGAGGAGACAGUGGGAAGUGGCUGUGAAAAGGGAAGACUUUUCUGCCAAUGAGAGGUCAAUUCUCUGUAGCCAGCACUUUCAGCCGGAGGAUUUUGACCGGACAGGCCAAAUUGUCAGGCUCAGGGAUGGAACUAAACCAUCUGUGUUCAGUUUCCCAACACAUCUCAAAAGAAAAGUGGCAGCCAGGACUACACAAGCCUCAAGGAAGGCUGAAGCGAGCCUUGUAAUUGACUGUUCUUUACAAUCAUUACAAGUCACUGAACCUUCACCUACCUACCUUGAACACACUUUCCCACUCUUCUCAAGACUAGACUCAAUGAAGCCCUGGCUAGAGUGGAGAGUCUUGAGAAAGAGAUGAGGCACUCAAAGGCCCGAGAGUGGAGGGCGAAGAAAACAUGGCGUUGUCUUCUGGAGGACCUCAGGGGGAAGAACCUCAUAAAUGAAGAGCUGCAAGAGAGGCUUGACUUAUACUCAGGUAACAUUGAAAUUAAACUUGGGCUGUAACCAAAGAAAUACAACUGCAAUAAUGUGUUCAAAUGCUUGGCUUGUCUGAAUUUCAUAUAUCAAACUUAAACUCGAAAAAAGCUCAGCAAGACAAUACUUUUUAAAGGGUUCUAGCCUAGAUUCAAUUAUUUUAUUAUAUCAUAUAUUGUGUGAAAUUUUAUAUUGUGUCAAUUGCACUGCUUAGAUGUGAAAAUGUUAUGAGCAUGAUUGUAUAUUAUGUCAAA